RNAcentral lists this ribosomal RNA (415 nucleotides) under Candidatus Brocadia sp. Its description in RNAcentral is "bacterial SSU rRNA". It matches the Rfam family "Bacterial small subunit ribosomal RNA", at positions 1 to 374 of the family's 1533-position model. Lineage: Bacteria; Pseudomonadati; Planctomycetota; Candidatus Brocadiia; Candidatus Brocadiales; Candidatus Brocadiaceae. The record is from RNAcentral.
UUUAUGAAGGGUAUGAUCUUGGCUCAGAACGAACGCUGGCGGCGUGGAUUAGGCAUGCAAGUCGAACGAGGGAGUGCCUCGAAAGGGGCGCAAACCGAGUGGCGUAAGGGUGAGUAAUGCAUUGAUAACCUGCCUUUGAGAUGGGAAUAACAACGUUCCAAGCAAUUGGGGCUACCGAAAGGGUUGCUAAUACCCAAUAAAACUAUUGCUGCUAUUGGUAGUAAUAGUCAAAUAAAUGGGGUCGAAAGAUUUCAUUUGCUCGAAGAGGGGUCAAUGUCCUAUCAGCUAGUUGGUAGAGUAAUAGCCUACCAAGGCAAAGACGGGUAGCCGGCCUGAGAGGGUGGUCGGCCACACUGGGACUGAGACACUGCCCAGACUCCUACGGGAGGCUGCAGUCGAGAAUCUUUCGCAAUGC